CCUACGGGAUGCAGCAGUGAGGAAUAUUGGUCAAUGGGCGCGAGCCUGAACCAGCCAAGUAGCGUGAAGGAUGCCUGCCCUACGGGUUGUACACUUCUUUUAUAAAGGAAUAAAGUGAGGCACGGGUGCCUUUUUGUAUGGACUUGAUGAAUAAGGAUCGGCUAACUCCGUGCCAGCAGCCGCGGUAAUACGGAGGAUCCGAGCUUUAUCCGGAUUUAUUGGGUUUAAAGGGAGCGUAGAUGGGUUGUUAAGUCAGUUGUGAAAGUUUGCGGCUCAACCGUAAAAUUGCAAUUGAAACUGGCAGUCUUGAGUACAGUUGAGGUAGGCGGAAUUCGUGGUGUAGCGGUGAAAUGCUUAGAUAUCACGAAGAACUCCGAUUGCGAAGGCAGCUUACUAAACUGCCACUGACAUUGAUGCUCGACAGUGUGGGUAUCAAACAGGAUUAGAUACCCUGGUAGUC
RNAcentral lists this ribosomal RNA (460 nucleotides) under uncultured bacterium. RNAcentral describes it as "partial 16S ribosomal RNA". It matches the Rfam family "Bacterial small subunit ribosomal RNA", at positions 338 to 795 of the family's 1533-position model. The record is from RNAcentral.